Cricetulus griseus (Chinese hamster) is the source of this 1750-nucleotide non-coding RNA. NCBI's taxonomy places the organism in Eukaryota, Metazoa, Chordata, Mammalia, Rodentia, Cricetidae. The record is from RefSeq and is a predicted model, not a curated record.
AAGUUUAUGGUUGGGGGUCACCACAGCAUAAGGAACUGUAUUAAAGGGUCACAGAAUUAGAAAGCUUGAGAGCCACUGCUAUGAGAGUGCUAUCUUAAAUAAGAAACUGGCUAGGCGCGGUGGCCCAUGCCUUUAAUCCCAGCACUCAGGAGCAGAGGCAGGUGGAUCGUGGCACACAGAAACUGUGGUCCAGAGGCAGCUGAGGUUGCAUCUCAUGCUAGCAGCCAAACUUAGUAGUGUAAGAGUCUCCCAGGUGGUCCUGGUUUUGAGGGCAUGAAGAUCAGCUGAGACUUGGGACUGUGAGAGGUCAGGACAGGCCAACAGUUAGGGGCAGCCUCAUUAGCAGUGAAAACCCCGGCCUUAAAGGGGCCAUGGAGAGAGGCUGUGGCUUGGCACCAUGUGGCAGGGGCAGAGUCCCCGAAGAGAGCCAAGGAGAGGCUAUUGAUGAAGGGGCAGCCCAGGUGCAGUGGAGAUUUUAGAAUCUGGGAGAUGUCAGUACCAUGGGAUGACUGCCAAGCGUGGGGUAUGGCCAGCCUGAAUCUAUGAGACAAGCUGGGUGUGCUGUGGAUAGCAGAACCUGGGAGGUGGAGCUGCUGUGGAAGCCCUUUGGAGCCCAGAGGAUCCUGAGUGAGUCCCAGAAGUCUAACACUAAGCCUUACACUGUUAGAUUUGCUUUUUUAUUUGACUGAUUGUAACUGUGCCUGGUUCUUCCCUCUGGGAAUAAGAAAGUAUUAGAAUUUUUUUUUUUUUUUGUUUUACAGAAGCCCACAGUUGAGAAACUGAACUUCUACAAAGACUUUGAAAUUUUAGAGAGACUUUAUGGUUUUAGGGAGACUUAACAUUUAAGAGAGAGUAUGGAUAUUUUAGAGACUGGAUUUUUAAAAGGUCUUGAACUUUGAAAGAGAAUCUGGCUGUUCUAAAGAGAAUGGACUUUUAAAGACUAUGGGGCUUUUAAUGUUAUUUAUGCUUUUAUAUUGUGGUGUUAAUAUUAACAUGACAUCUUGGGGACCCAUGAGAAAGAAAAGGCUCUAGUUGAAUAAUGAUGUAUCGGUGUGUCAAACUGGUAAGAGGUCAAUUGUGCUGGCUAGUUUUAUGUCACGGCUAGAGUCAUUUGGAAAGAGGGAAUCUCAUUUGAGAAAAUGUCCCUGUCAGAGUAACCUGUGGGCAAGCUUGUGGUAGAUUUUCUUGAUUGAUGAUCACUGUGGGAGGGCCUAGCUCACUGUAGGCAGUGCUAUCCCUGGGCUGAUGGUCUUGGAAGCUAUAAGACAGCAGGCUGAGCAAGUUACAGAGAGAAAGCCAGUAAUCAGCGAUUUUCUGCAGCCUCUGCAUCAGCUCCUGGCCCUAGGCCCUGCCUGUGUGCCUGUCCUGACUGCCCUGGAUGAUACUACAAGCUGUAAGGUGAAUAAACCCUCUGCUUCCCCAAGUUGCUGCUGGUCAUGGUGUUUGCCACAGCAGCACAAACAAUAAGAAUCUAUUUGAGCUGCUGACUGGAGUUUCACUAAAAGUUGUUGGGUGGACUUGCGUUUGGAUUAGACCGGAAUCUCCAAUCACUUCUGCUGUGCCACUGGACAGAGCUCUGCCAUUUUGAGAUGGAUGUUUAUGUAAAAUAGCACUCUCAACAGUGACAGUUAAAAAAAUCAAAAUAUUGCUCUACCCUGAAAAAUACUGCAAGUGCUCUUUGAUGUGUGGUAUCAGAUAUCCAGACAAGAUUUAAUUCUUUACGUGAAAAUAAACAAGCAUGUCUAUCUCA